AAUGGCUACUUUUAUUAGUAGCACUUUUUUUUCAUUUUGUAAUUGAAUGAUCGUUUCAUGGUUUCAUUUACCGUCUUCUUCUCAAUAAAUCUCAUCGGUCGACGCCGCCUGUCGGAACACCACCGCCGCCGUUAUCUUUAAUCGUUGAAUUAGGGAGAUUUGAGAUGGUGGUGUGUUUUGAGGCUACACCUAAAAAGAUUGCAGCUACGACAGCGUUUUUUCUUUUCGGUUGCUCGUUAUUUGGAUAUGGUUUGCACCUUUCUCAUGUCAAUGUUGCUCCUCAACAAGCUCGACUUCAAGCUCGGAAUGAUUACAUUAGAGCGAGAUUGAAGAAGCUACACGGAGAUAAAUCGUUCUAGCCCAUGGAUUAUAAAGUCGUGCUUUUAUUCAUAGUGUUUGAAUCUUAUAAACAAUGCAGAGGGCUUCAUCAAACAUAUACUAGUACUUUUUAUUAUCUGCUUAGUGAUUGUUUUGAAGCUUGGUAGAUAUGAGCACAUUUAUUCGUUUUACAGCAGUCACGUUAGUUUGCACACGUUGCUAUGAAUGUAAGCGCAUUUCUUCUA
Non-coding RNA from Salvia hispanica, 563 nucleotides. Lineage: Eukaryota; Viridiplantae; Streptophyta; Magnoliopsida; Lamiales; Lamiaceae. The record is from RefSeq and is a predicted model, not a curated record.